AACGAACGCUGGCGGCAGGCCUAACACAUGCAAGUCGAGCGCACCCUUCGGGGUGAGCGGCGGACGGGUGAGUAACGCGUGGGAACGUUCCCUUCUCUGCGGAAUAGCCUCGGGAAACUGAGAGUAAUACCGCAUACGCCCUUUGGGGGAAGGAUUUAUCGGAGAAGGAUCGGCCCGCGUUGGAUUAGGUAGUUGGUAGGGUAAUGGCCCACCAAGCCGACGAUCCAUAGCUGGUUUGAGAGGAUGAUCAGCCACACUGGGACUGAGACACGGCCCAGACUCCUACGGGAGGCAGCAGUGGGGAAUCUUAGACAAUGGGGGCAACCCUGAUCUAGCCAUGACGCGUGAGUGAUGAAGGCCUUAGGGUUGUAAAGCGCUUUCAGCUGGGAAGAUAAUGACGGUACCAGCAGAAGAAGCCCCGGCUAACUCCGUG
RNAcentral lists this ribosomal RNA (433 nucleotides) under uncultured bacterium. RNAcentral's name for it is "partial 16S ribosomal RNA". It matches the Rfam family "Bacterial small subunit ribosomal RNA", at positions 29 to 507 of the family's 1533-position model. The record is from RNAcentral.